Molecule: ribosomal RNA, 428 nt
Filed under: Actinomycetes bacterium
Lineage: Bacteria; Bacillati; Actinomycetota; Actinomycetes
Description: Actinobacteria bacterium partial 16S ribosomal RNA
Rfam family: Bacterial small subunit ribosomal RNA
Source: RNAcentral
UAGGAAUCUUCCGCAAUGGGCUAAAGCCUGACGGAGCAACGCCGCGCGAGUGAUGAAGGUCUUCGGAUUGUAAAACUCUGUUAUUAGGGAAGAACAAAUGUGUUAGUAACUAUUCACGUCUUGACGGUACCUAAUCAGAAAGUCACGGCUAACUACGUGCCAGCAGCCGCGGUAAUACGUAGGUGGCAAGCGUUUUCCGGAAUUAUUGGGCGUAAAGCGCGCGUAGGCGGUUUUUUAAGUCUGAUGUGAAAGCCAACGGCUCAACCGUGGAGGGUCAUUGGAAACUGGAAAACUUGAGUGCAGAAGAGGAAAGUGGAAUUCCAUGUGUAGCGGUGAAAUGCGCAGAGAUAUGGAGGAAAACCAGUGGCGAAGGCGACUUUCUAGUCUGUAACUGACGCUGAUGUGCGAAAGCGUGGGGAUCAAACAGG